RNAcentral lists this transfer RNA (74 nucleotides) under Candidatus Abyssobacteria bacterium SURF_5. RNAcentral's name for it is "Candidatus Abyssubacteria bacterium SURF_5 tRNA-Arg". It matches the Rfam family "tRNA". Rfam says of the family: Transfer RNA (tRNA) molecules are approximately 80 nucleotides in length. Their secondary structure includes four short double-helical elements and three loops (D, anti-codon, and T loops). Lineage: Bacteria; Pseudomonadati; Candidatus Hydrogenedentota; Candidatus Abyssobacteria. The record is from RNAcentral.
GCGCCCGUAGCUCAGAAGGAUAGAGCAGCGGUUUCCUAAACCGCGUGUCGCUGGUUCGAGUCCAGUCGGGCGCU